This is an RNA transcript of Juglans microcarpa x Juglans regia, 1891 nucleotides long. It is a transcript of the gene named scopoletin glucosyltransferase-like, with no coding region annotated. NCBI's taxonomy places the organism in Eukaryota, Viridiplantae, Streptophyta, Magnoliopsida, Fagales, Juglandaceae. The record is from RefSeq and is a predicted model, not a curated record. The transcript is spliced from 2 exons.
UCGCUGAUUCGCUACAACGAAAAAUCCAAUCUUCCUUUUUGUUCUACAUAUAACCUCAUGCCUCAGGUUCAACUUGUAAACAUAUAAUUCAAACACGGGGACAACACAGCCAAGCCUAGCCUACCCUCUGUAUCUCCUCCCGAUCUCCUUGUUAUCGUCGCAUCGUACGUACAUAUAACCCUUUCUUGUUAAAUCAAAAUCCGCUUUCAAAGGUGUUAUGGGUAGCAAAAAUCGCCAGCUUCACAUAUUCUUCUUUCCCUUGAUGGCCCCUGGCCAUAUGUUACCAGUCAUCGACAUGGCUAGGCUAUCCACAACCCAAGGUGUCAAAGCGACCAUAAUCACCACCCCGCUCAACGAGCCUUUUGUCGCAAAAACGAUUGAAAGAACCAAAACUAGCAGCGGCUUCAAUAUUGAUAUCAAAACCAUCAAGUUCCCGACAGUAGAGGUUGGCCUGCCAGAAGGGUGCGAGAACAUCGACUCCUUUACUUCUGUCGAAAACUGUGCUAGUUUCUUGACAGCCCUGGGGAUGCUCCGACAACCCCUCGAGCAGCUACUACAAGAUUACCGACCUCAUUGCAUUGUUGCCGACAUGUACUUUCCAUGGGCAACUGAUGUUGCUGCUAAAUUUGGCAUCCCAAGGCUUGUUUUUCAUGUAACCAGUUUUUUCUCAUUGUCUACUCAGGUGAGUCUAGAAGUGUAUGAACCUCACAAAAAAGUUUUAUCUGAUUCUGAACCUUUCGUCAUUCCUAAUUUUCCUGACGAGAUAAAGUUGACAAGGAUGAAAAUUCUCAUCGUCCAUCAGUUCAAUGAUAAGGAAGGCGUACUUGAAACAGAAUUUACAAAGGUUUUGAAAGAAGCCAAUGAAGCAGAGGUGAGGAGCUAUGGGGUUGUUGUAAACAGCUUCUAUGAGCUCGAACCGGCUUAUGCAAAUCAUUACAGAAAGGUCUUGGGAAGGAAAGCAUGGCAUAUAGGUCCAGUUUCACUAUGCAACAAGGAGGCUGAAGACAAAGGUCAGAGGGGACAAGAAUCAUCCAUCGAUGAACACGAAUGUUUGAAGUGGCUUAAUGCAAAGAACAGUGAUUCAGUUGUUUAUAUAUGUUUCGGAAGUUUGGCCAACUUAACCGAUUCUCAGCUAAUGGAGAUUGCAAUGGGUCUUGAGGCUUCUGAACAACAAUUCAUUUGGGUCGUCAAGAAAGGCAAAGACGAGAAAGAAGAGGAAGAUUGGUUGCCGAAAGGAUUCAAGAAGAGAAUGGAAGGUAGGGGACUAAUAAUAAGAGGUUGGGCACCCCAAGUUUUGAUUCUGGAUCAUGAAGCGAUAGGAGGAUUUGUGACUCAUUGUGGCUGGAACUCAACGUUAGAAGGAGUGACUGCUGGGUUGCCUAUGGUCACAUGGCCUAUGUUUGCUGAGCAAUUUUACAAUGAGAAGUUAGUGACUCAAGUGUUGAAAAUUGGAGUCCCUGUGGGUGCUGAUCGGCGGUACGUUAAUAUGAUGGGGAAUGAUGCUUAUAUUAUAAAAAAGGAAGCAAUAGAGAAUGCAGUGAGGCGAAUUAUCAUGGUAAGUGAAGAAGCAAAGGAAAUGAGAAGCAGAGCCAAGGCACUUGGGGAGAUGGCAAGGAGAGCCAUGGAAAAAGGCGGAUCAUCCUAUUCCGAUUUGAAUGCUUUAAUUGAAGAACUGAAGAUCCUCAGCGGUUGAUAUAUGCUAGAAACGUUGGGGAAGGUUUCAUAAUAUAAAUGUUCUGAUAUUGAUGGUCUGUUACAAUAAAAAUAUACAUGUGGCAGGGCCGUAAUGAUAUAGUGUGAAUGAGAGUGUUUUGAAUUUAGCAUAUAGUGUGAAGGUACCAAUACAGCUAAACAACUACUUGGCAUAUAAUGAUGGAAUAGAGUAAUUGAA